RNAcentral lists this ribosomal RNA (479 nucleotides) under uncultured Actinomycetes bacterium. RNAcentral describes it as "bacterial SSU rRNA". It matches the Rfam family "Bacterial small subunit ribosomal RNA", at positions 9 to 517 of the family's 1533-position model. Lineage: Bacteria; Bacillati; Actinomycetota; Actinomycetes. The record is from RNAcentral.
GAGUUUGAUCAUGGCUCAGGACAAACGCUGGCGGCGUGUAUUAGGCAUGCAAGUCGCACGGACCUUCGGGUCAGUGGCGGACGGGUGAGUAACACGUGGGUAACCUGCCUUGGAGUGGGGAAUAACUCUCCGAAAGGAGAGCUAAUACCGCAUACCACUCCCGGUGAGAAUCCGGGUAGUAAAAGCAGUAAUGCGCUCUAAGAGGGGCCCGCGGCCGAUUAGCUUGUUGGUGGGGUAAUGGCCUACCAAGGCGACGAUCGGUAGCUGGUCUGAGAGGAUGGUCAGCCACACGGGGACUGAGAUACGGCCCGACUCCUACGGGAGGCAGCAGCUAAGAAUCUUGCGCAAUGGGCGAAAGCCUGACGCAGCAACGCCGCGUGGAGGACGAAGGCCUUCGGGUUGUAAACUCCUUUUGUCGAGGGAAGAAGUUCUGACGGUACCUCGCGAAUAAGCCACGGCUAACUACGUGCCAGCCGCCG